AGGAUUAACGCUGGCGGCGUGCCUAACACAUGCAAGUCGAACGAGGUAGCAAUACCUAGUGGCAGACGGGUGAGUAGCGCGUGGUCAACCUACCGUUGAGUGGGGGAUAACUAGCCGAAAGGUUAGCUAAUACCGCAUACGUCUCCGAGGGGCAUCCCUUGGUGAUAAAAGGAGCAAUCCGCUCGAUGACGGGACCGCGUCCCAUUAGCUAGUUGGUGGGGUAACGGCCUACCAAGGCAUCGAUGGGUAGCUGGUUUGAGAGAGCGACCAGCCACACUGGGACUGAGAUACGGCCCAGACUCCUACGGGAGGCAGCAGUGAGGAAUUUUCCGCAAUGGGCGAAAGCCUGACGGAGCGACGCCGCGUGUGGGAAGAAGGCCUUCGGGUCGUAAACCACUGUCGAAGGGGAAGAUAAUGACGGUACCCUUGGAGGAAGCCCCGGCUAACUACGUCGCCAGCAGCCGC
This 465-nucleotide ribosomal RNA is filed under the name uncultured bacterium. Its description in RNAcentral is "SSU rRNA". It matches the Rfam family "Bacterial small subunit ribosomal RNA", at positions 26 to 518 of the family's 1533-position model. The record is from RNAcentral.